Molecule: transfer RNA, 73 nt
Filed under: Triacanthus biaculeatus (short-nosed tripodfish)
Lineage: Eukaryota; Metazoa; Chordata; Actinopteri; Tetraodontiformes; Triacanthidae
Description: tRNA-Thr
Rfam family: tRNA
About the family: Transfer RNA (tRNA) molecules are approximately 80 nucleotides in length.
Source: RNAcentral
GCAUUAGUAGCUCAGCGCCUAGAGCGUCGGUCUUGUAAACCGGACGUCGGGGGCUAAAAUCCCCCCUACUGCU